AAGCCUAAAGUCCUCACUCCACAUCCACCCCUCUCUAUUUUCGUCCCUCCUUCCUUCCCCCACCCUCACAACUUUUCUCCCACCAUUAUCACACUCCAUAGAAGCCCUUGAAGCCCCAAGAGAAGUAUCAAAGCAAGGGAGAGCGUGGAAAAACUAGGGCGUAAAGUUAGAGUGAAGGUUGUGCUUCGAGGGUGAGUUUUUCUUUGAUUUUCUCAACUGAAAAAGCUUUAUGGCUAUGGAUUUUUACACAUGUGUGUGAUAUAUAAUGUGAGGAUAUGUUUUAUGAUUUUAGAUGUUCAUUUUGGUAGAGUUUAUUGGGUGAAAAACCGUGCAUGAGGUAAGGCAGCGAAUCUGCCAUAAGCACACUGCUCCGGCAGUGUUUUGCAAGGCGAUUCCAGCCAUCCAAACGGUCCCCAAAAAUUCCCAAAUUAAUUGUGUAUCGUGUUCAAUAUGUUUUCUAUACUAUGAUAGAAUUUCAGAAUAUUUGGAGCUCGUAUGUUUUAUUUAUGAAUUUUUGAUCAUGACUGCCUGUCUGGAAUGCAUUUCUGGUAAACAAUCUUUGAGAGGCCAUAAGUCAAGUUUCAAUCGGUGAAAACCUUUGAAACUUGAAUAUGUCACUCUAGACUCCCGUAUCUUUCUUUUGGUACCGGCCUCACCAUUUUUGAGUAAGGAAAACAAUCGGUAUAAAUUCUUGAAAUCUAGUUCUUAUUCUUUGUACCAUCCAGUAGGUCUUACAAACCUACGACUUUGAGGUAGCAAAGGCCAACCUAAAUCUUUGAUUCUCAAGCCCAUUUUUCUACUGAAUAUUCAUUGACAUGUUGGAAACUUGUCUGUUUCUUUAUAGAAUUUUUGGUAAAGCCUAAAGUGGUUUUUCUGAAUUUAACUUUUAAUCUGCCGAACUUGAACUCUUUUUGUGCACUGAACUUUGGAUGUUAAUAUCUCCUAAACCAUGAAUCUUCUUGGGGUGAAUUCAACUGGAGAGUGUUACACUUUCUCCCUAGUUUUCGGAUUGACCCUUGGAGUUCCUAGUGGCCUUUUGUAAUGGGAGAUAUGAAUUUUUAAAGAAGGCCCAUUGACUUGGUUCUAAUCUGGAAAUCUGAAAUUUCCAGAUUUUUGCUUGUUAAGUACCCAUCUUUGAAUGGGCAUAUCUUGCUCGUUUGAACUCCGUUUCAUUCGAUUCAAAUUGGAGAAUGAUCCUUGAAAUGUCUAGUUUCCAGAAUGUCCUUUGGAGCCUCAUUUAGAGAUCCGAGGCAGAAUUGGUGUCUGUUGCAAAACAGCCCCUUAAGAGCUCAAGUUGUUGAAUUAUUUUCUAAGUUUGAAAGUUGGUUUUAAAGGAUGUUUCAUGAAAUAUUAUGUAUAUGUGCAUGACAAGUUUGGGAUAUGUUUUGUGCAAAGUUUUCAUGAAAUUGAGUGAGUUGGUCUUUUUAGGGCACAUGUGUACCGUAUGAGACUAUUUUGGGCCACAUUUUUGACCCCAAAAAGUGGCAAUAUAAAUGCUGAAAUUGAGUUCAAAUGUGGCCUAAAAAUGACUAAAAACUAAAAUAAUUGGCCUAUUUUUGUAAGUUCCGAAAAAUAAUGGCCUAUUUUUACAAAUAGCCGUAAGAUAAUGGCCUUAAAUAUUUAAAACUCAAUUUAUCAUAGAAGAUAUACGUACNCUGGAAUAUAUUUUUGGUAAAUACUCUUUGGGAGGCCAUAAGUCGAGUUUCGAUCGGUGAAAGCCUUUUAAACUUUAAUAUGUCACUCUAGACUCCCGUAUCUUUCUUUUGGCAUCGGCCUCACCAUUUUUGAGAAAGGAAAACAACCGGUAUAAAUUCUUGAAAUCUAGUUCUUAUUCCUUGUACCAUCCCGUAGGUUUUACAAACCUAUGACUUUGAGCUCGCAAAGGCCGGCUUAAAUCUUUGAUUCUCAAGCCUAUUUUUCUACUUAAUAUUCCCUGACAUGUUGGAAACUUACUUGUUCAGUUUUAGAAUUUUUGGUGAAGCCUAAAGUGGGUUUUCCGAUUUACGAUCUGAAUCUGCCAAACUUGAACUCUUUUUGUGCACUGAACUUUAGACAGUCAUAUCUCCUAAACCAUGAAUCUUCUUGGGGUAAAUCCAAUUGGAGAGUGUUACACUCUCUCCCUAGUUUUCAGAUUGACCCUUGGAGUUCCCAGUGACCUUUUGUAAUGGGAGAUAUGAUUUUUAAGAAGGUCCCAUUGACUUGAUUCUAAUCUGGAAAUCUGAAAUUUCCAGAUUUUUGCUUGUUAAGUACCCAUCUUUGAGAGGGCAUAUCUUGCUCGUUUGAACUUUGUUUCAUUCGAUUCAAAUUGGAGAAUGAUCCUUGAAAUGUCUAGUUUCCAGAAUGUCCUUUGGAGCCUCAUUUGGAGAUCCGAGGCAGAAUUGGUGUCUGUUGCAAAACAGCCCCUUAAGAGCUCAAGUUGUUGAAUUAUUUUCUAAGUUUGAAAGUUGGUUUUAAAGGAUGUUUCAUGAAAUAUUAUGUAUAUGUGCAUGACGAGUUUUGGGAUAUGUUUUGUGCAAAGUUUUCAUGAAAUGUAGUGAGUUACCUAGAUAAGGCAUCAAGAUAAGCUAACGUAUGUAAAAUGCAUAAUCCCUAGCUCGAUUUUGCGUUGUAAGUCCGGGAAUAGGUUGACCUAGAGAUCCUAAGUAGACAAUGGUUUUUGUUAUCCAUGAUAUGCUCUAAGAGUUAAGAACUCGUCUUGUAGGAAUUGGUCCGCAGGACGGUGCCACAGCUUAAGAUCACCUCUCUCUUUCACACCGAAGAUCAGGUGGGUUAUAUUUGCAAAAGUAUAUUGGGUUAGUAAGCCCUCUCUUUUUAAACAAGCAAAUAUGUUUUAAAUUGUGAAUGCAUGCAAAUAUUUUGUUUGGUUGUUACAAAGAACAAACGGGGUUGUCCCACAGAACAAACGGGGUCGUCCCCAAACGAUCGGCUCUGUCCCCGACGGGGGCCAGGGUAGUGUACACCAGUAAGAAGUCUAGGUAUGGGAUUGAUUCGGCCGGGUCUCCCAUACUUAGCACCAAGAAAGGUAACACCAAACCAGAAAGGCGCGCAAAAGUUAAAGGAGCUACGGCUCACAAGUAUUCUGAAUUUAUAGUAAUUAUUUUCAAGGAUUGCUAUAUUUUCUUACAGGCAUGCAUUUCACCAAGUAUCACAGUUCUUUAAAACCAGUUUAAAGAAAAAGGGGACAUUAACUUCACUGAGUGCAUUAGUACUCAGCCCAAAGUUUUAAAUCAUUUCAGGUUAACGGAGUCGGGCGCAGCGGGGGCUAGGUGGUGGUGGUGGUCUGGAGCUGUCGACAAGGUUUCUCAAUGAUAUUUAUUUCCCAUAACCUCGAUCACCAAACAUUUUAUUUUGUUGGUUAUGCCCUGCGUGGCGAUUAUGAGCUUGUUUACUGCUUUCCCUAAACAACUGAACAAUUGAGUUGCUCUUGGGCACUCAGACACCGUGAUAACGAACUCUCUAAACUUGACCGGAGUCCUCAUACUUCGUGUUAAGUUGGGUUUCCUUUGAGCAGAACGAUUAAAGAAUAGGUUCAUUAAUUCCG
This 3541-nucleotide long non-coding RNA is filed under the name Salvia miltiorrhiza (redroot sage). RNAcentral describes it as "long non-coding RNA (SMIL_LNC004677)". The record is from RNAcentral. Lineage: Eukaryota; Viridiplantae; Streptophyta; Magnoliopsida; Lamiales; Lamiaceae.